RNAcentral lists this non-coding RNA (28 nucleotides) under Caenorhabditis remanei. Lineage: Eukaryota; Metazoa; Nematoda; Chromadorea; Rhabditida; Rhabditidae. The record is from RNAcentral.
GUUUACUGCUACAUAGGCAGCUUAGAAA